This 910-nucleotide long non-coding RNA is filed under the name Capsicum annuum. RNAcentral describes it as "long non-coding RNA (CANN_LNC016151)". The record is from RNAcentral. Lineage: Eukaryota; Viridiplantae; Streptophyta; Magnoliopsida; Solanales; Solanaceae.
GAUUGAUGGCUAUACAAGGCUUUUGUAGACACAUGCUGUUAUUGGAUGAAUAUUGUGGACUAAACGAGAAGUUCGCAGCAGGGUAUGUACAAAAUGGUUGGCUAAUGACAGAUGGGAAAUACAUAAUCCAUAGUGAUUAUUGUAGACACCUAACUUUUUCCCUCUCAAAAUCUAAUUCAUCCAUUUUUACCUCACGUUAUCAUACACCCGCACCCAUGUGAUUACACCCCACAAAAAUACAAAAAAAAAAUUACCAACACUUAAUAAAUCUCUAACAAAUUUUAUCUUAUUUUAAUCAUGCUAACAACCUACCCUUACCCCACCCCUACCCCACCUCACCCACGUAACCACCCCUCCCCCAUAUUUCUUUUCCAAAAAGGAAAAAAACAUAUACACACUCAAAUUCCAUCCAAUUGGGGGCCCACAAUGAAGAAAAACAUAUACAAAAGGCAUUUUCCAUUUUUGGGGGAGGGAUCACCAGGGAUUCCUUUCUUUUUCCACUAACAAUAUAUAUUUUCCACACUCAAGAAAAAAAUGAAGUGUGACAGCUCUGGCGACUCCGCUGGGGACAAUUUCAUAUUCGAGCUUAUUGUUUUGGAGUUGCAUCGACUUUGUUUGGCAUUAUGGGUAUAUAGACCUUGUUUGUGUUGUUUUGUGUUAUUAUAUUUUUUUCAUUGUUGAGUUCCUUUGUACUCUUUAUUUAUAGUUUUUAUCUAUGUGUACAACUUCAUAUCUAGCAUCAUGUGCAUAACCCGAGUCAUUCUUUCUGCAAUAAGUCCGUAGUGCACGCUGUGUACACAACCUCUAGUUGAGUCUCCCUUAUCUUGGGAGGGAGAGCCGUCGGCUGGUAUGGAGUGGGUGGAAAGCUAAAGCAGCCACUAUCGAUCAUAUGCUCUCCCGAACAACCUUG